UGGGGAAUAUUGCACAAUGGGCGCAAGCCUGAUGCAGCCAUGCCGCGUGUGUGAAGAAGGCCUUCGGGUUGUAAAGCACUUUCAGCGGGGAGGAAGGCGAUAAGGUUAAUAACCUCAUCGAUUGACGUUACCCGCAGAAGAAGCACCGGCUAACUCCGUGCCAGCAGCCGCGGUAAUACGGAGGGUGCAAGCGUUAAUCGGAAUUACUGGGCGUAAAGCGCACGCAGGCGGUCUGUCAAGUCGGAUGUGAAAUCCCCGGGCUCAACCUGGGAACUGCAUUCGAAACUGGCAGGCUAGAGUCUUGUAGAGGGGGGUAGAAUUCCAGGUGUAUCGGUGAAAUGCGUAGAGAUCUGGAGGAAUACCGGUGGCGAAGGCGGCCCCCUGGACAAAGACUGACGCUCAGGUGCGAAAGCGUGGGGAGCAAACAGG
Molecule: ribosomal RNA, 429 nt
Filed under: Chloroflexota bacterium
Lineage: Bacteria; Bacillati; Chloroflexota
Description: Chloroflexi bacterium partial 16S ribosomal RNA
Rfam family: Bacterial small subunit ribosomal RNA
Source: RNAcentral